CCUACGGGAGGCAGCAGUGAGGAAUAUUGGUCAAUGGGCGCGAGCCUGAACCAGCCAAGUAGCGUGAAGGAUGACUGUCCUACGGGUUGUAAACUUCUUUUAUCACGGAAUAAAGUGAGGCACGUGUGCCUUUUUGUAUGUACUUUAUGAAAAAGGAUCGGCUAACUCCGUGCCAGCAGCCGCGGUAAGACGGAGGAUCCGAGCGUUAUCCGGUUUUAUUGGGUUUAAAGGUAGCGUAGAUGGGUUGUUAAGUCAGUUGUGAAAGUUUGCGGCUCAACCGGAAAAUUGCAAUUGAUACUGGCAGCCUUGAGUACAGUUGAGGUAGGCGGAAUUCGUGGUGUAGCGGUGAAAUGCUUAGAUAUCACGAAGAACUCCGAUUGCGAAGGCAGCUUACUAGACUGCCACUGACAUUGAUGCUCGAAAGUGUGGGUAUCAAACAGGAUUAGAUACCCCAGUAGUC
RNAcentral lists this ribosomal RNA (460 nucleotides) under uncultured bacterium. RNAcentral describes it as "partial 16S ribosomal RNA". It matches the Rfam family "Bacterial small subunit ribosomal RNA", at positions 338 to 795 of the family's 1533-position model. The record is from RNAcentral.